Long non-coding RNA from Nematostella vectensis (starlet sea anemone), 1608 nucleotides. RefSeq lists it as uncharacterized. The transcript has 2 exons. NCBI's taxonomy places the organism in Eukaryota, Metazoa, Cnidaria, Anthozoa, Actiniaria, Edwardsiidae. The record is from RefSeq and is a predicted model, not a curated record.
UUUUGUUCUUCUAACUCGCGGCCGACACCAAGAGUAUUGUGGAUAACGUUUUUGCAUUAUUUUCGUCGUGGCUAAAACCAAGAAAGAAAAUCGGCACAUCUUAACAAUUUUAUAAUAUAAAGACGUACAAACGAUGAACGGAGGGACAAACGAUGUGUUUGGAAAAAAAGAUGAAUCCCAGCUGCCAGCUUUAGAGGCAUGAUGCUAGGACAGGAUGCAUUCAUUAAUACAGCUAAGUAACAAAAAGAUAGUAGUUACCAAUGAAGACUUGUUAUAAAAAAAACUAAACCAGCUAAUAAAAUAAACUAAAGUAGUCAGAAACUUUGAAAACAAGUUAGAGUGAUUUAUUUCAUUCACCCUUUGACAAAGUGGCUGGUACAAAACACUGACCAAAAUUGGCCCCCUGGCAAAUGGACCCUUGCUAAAAAAAAAUAAGAUUUCUAGAUAUAAAUGGGUUUUCUAAUAAAAAAAAUUCUUAGUUCCAAUUGCACUAAUUAACCACUACCAGUUGCACUAAUUAACUCAACAGGGGUUUGUGAGAAAUCUACUUUUGAAAUAGCUAUUAUUUGAAUCUGAGAUGAUAUUUGCAAAAAUCAACAGCACUGUACUCUCAUUAUUAGUCAACAUAAUAAAUGGGUGUAUAGAAUGUACCAUUUGACCUUUCAUGAAAUUAUUUCACAGAUAAUUUAGCACUAUUCGUGGAAGUGAUCUUUUUUUAAUGCCACACCGAGCCCUAUUUUAUGUUUAAGCACAAAAAUAACAGAUGUACAUACCCUUGACACCCUGAUGCUUCAAUAUGGGUCCGUGGACCACCUCAAGGAGGGUCAGUGUUUUUUACAAACCAUACCCAAGACAUAGUGUCAAUUCAAAUAGAGUAGUAGCCACAAAAACACAGUAGAGAAGGUUGAUAAAACUGUUUAGCCAAUAUUUGUAAUUUUUACCAAAUAACUUUUAUUACCCUUUUACUGAAAGAAAAUUAUAAUAAUCAAGAAAUUCUAGUAGUGCAAUGUGAAAGGAAGAAAGGGAAUUUGGACAGUGUAGGCAAGUAUGAAGCACAUUCACUGGCAAAAGCAAUAUGCUUAUGUUUAGAAAUGUGUUGUGAGCUGAUAAAAAGAAACCCAUUUUGCUGUAAAAAAAAAAAAAACUAUAAUUCUUUAAUGUUCCGUAAUCGAUGAUACCUCCAAAUACGCCCAAACAAGUUUCUCCGGGUUAAACAACAACAAAAAAAUAUACCUACAUACAUAUCCCACUCUUCACCUGUGCAUCACGAAUUCUUCUAUGAACGGCUUCACUCACACAUUGCAUAUAUACAUACAUAUAAUGUAUUAAGCUUAAAAAGCCUCUGGCUUCGGCUUUUCCCUUAUUGUAUUUACAUUUAAAAUAUUCAAUAAAAGAUUGAUUGAUUAUUAUAAUAUGGCUUAAAUAGAUUGUACGCUGGCUCCGCUUUUAGGCAGUGCCUAAAUCUAUAUAUUAUCACUAUACAAAUUUUCUUGCGUACUAGAAUACAAACCGAGUGCUUGGGUUACCUGUGCAUACAUCAUUUUGCGCUUAGCAAUAGGGGACUUGCGCUAAGUGAUCACGUGAUCUUUCUGGAUGGCAAAUUAAAAA